RNAcentral lists this ribosomal RNA (338 nucleotides) under uncultured bacterium. RNAcentral's name for it is "bacterial SSU rRNA". It matches the Rfam family "Bacterial small subunit ribosomal RNA", at positions 168 to 507 of the family's 1533-position model. The record is from RNAcentral.
ACCUCAUAAUGCAGCGGAUCGCAUGGAUAUGUUGUUAAAGGUUUACCGCCUUGGGAUAGGCUUGCGUCUGAUUAGCUAGUUGGUGUGGUAACGGCACACCAAGGCUACGAUCAGUAACUGGUCUGAGAGGAUGAUCAGUCACACUGGAACUGAGACACGGUCCAGACUCCUACGGAGGCAGCAGUGAGGAAUAUUGGGCAAUGCUCGAAAGAGUGACCCAGCAACGCCGCGUGGAGGAUGAAGGUAUUCUAUAUCGUAAACUCCUGUGAGAGCAGACGAAAGACAGAUUAUUAAUCUGGAUGACCGUAUGCUCAGAGGAAGCCCCGGCUAACUACGUG